GGUGCUGUGGCUCAGUGGGUUAAAGCCCUGGCCUGCAGUGUCAGCAUCCCAUAUGGGUGCUGGUUCAAGUCCUGGCUGCCCCA
This is a transfer RNA of Oryctolagus cuniculus (rabbit), 83 nucleotides long. It matches the Rfam family "tRNA". Rfam says of the family: Transfer RNA (tRNA) molecules are approximately 80 nucleotides in length. Lineage: Eukaryota; Metazoa; Chordata; Mammalia; Lagomorpha; Leporidae. The record is from Rfam.